UACGUAGGUGGCAAGCGUUACUCGGAAUCACUAGGCGUAAAGCGCAGGUAGGCGGUUCGGUAAGUCUCUUGUGAAAGCUCCUGGCUUAACUGGGAGAGGUCAAGGGAAACUACCGAGCUAGAGUGUGGCAGAGGAAGCUGGAAUUCCCGGUGUAGCGGUGAAAUGCGUAGAUAUCGGGAGGAAUACCUAUGGCGAAAGCAGGCUUCUGGGCCAUCUCUGACGCUGAUCUGCGAAAGCUAGGGGAGCAAACAGG
Molecule: ribosomal RNA, 253 nt
Filed under: uncultured bacterium
Lineage: Bacteria
Description: partial 16S ribosomal RNA
Rfam family: Bacterial small subunit ribosomal RNA
Source: RNAcentral